AGUGAACGCUGGCGGUAGGCCUAACACAUGCAAGUCGAACGGCAGCACAGGAGAGCUUGCUCUCUGGGUGGCGAGUGGCGGACGGGUGGGGAAUACAUCGGAAUCUACUUUUUCGUGGGGGAUAACGUAGGGAAACUUACGCUAAUACCGCAUACGACCUACGGGUGAAAGCAGGGGAUCUUCGGACCUUGCGCGAUUGAAUGAGCCGAUGUCGGAUUAGCUAGUUGGCGGGGUAAAGGCCCACCAAGGCGACGAUCCGUAGCUGGUCUGAGAGGAUGAUCAGCCACACUGAACUGAGACACGGGCCAGACUCCUACGGGAGGCAGCAGUGGGGAAUAUUGGACAAUGGGCGCAAGCCUGGUCCAGCCAUACCGCGUGGGUGAAGAAGGCCUUCGGGUUGUAAAGCCCUUUUGUUGGGAAAGAAAUCCAGCUGGUUAAUACCCGGUUGGGAUGACGGUACCCAAAGAAUAAGCACCGGCUAACUUCGUGCCAGCAGCCGCCGUAA
This 505-nucleotide ribosomal RNA is filed under the name uncultured bacterium. RNAcentral's name for it is "partial 16S ribosomal RNA". It matches the Rfam family "Bacterial small subunit ribosomal RNA", at positions 29 to 523 of the family's 1533-position model. The record is from RNAcentral.